UACGCUAUAGUCAAGUGGUAAGACAACGGACUUUGACUCCGUGAGCCUAGGUUCGAAUCCUAGUGGCGUAG
This 71-nucleotide transfer RNA is filed under the name Caudoviricetes sp. Its description in RNAcentral is "tRNA-Gln". It matches the Rfam family "tRNA". From Rfam's summary of the family: Transfer RNA (tRNA) molecules are approximately 80 nucleotides in length. Their secondary structure includes four short double-helical elements and three loops (D, anti-codon, and T loops). Lineage: Duplodnaviria; Heunggongvirae; Uroviricota; Caudoviricetes. The record is from RNAcentral.